GACGAACGCUGGCGGCGUGCUUAACACAUGCAAGUCGAACGGAAAGGCCCCUUUGGGGGUACUCGAGUGGCGAACGGGUGAGUAACACGUGAGUAACCUGCCCUUGACUUCGGGAUAACUUCAGGAAACUGGGGCUAAUACCGGAUAGGAAUCCUUGCUGCAUGGUGGGGGUUGGAAAGCUUCGGCGGUUUUGGAUGGACUCGCGGCUUAUCAGCUUGUUGGUGGGGUAGUGGCUUACCAAGGCUUUGACGGGUAGCCGGCCUGAGAGGGCGACCGGCCACAUUGGGACUGAGAUACGGCUCAGACUCCUACGGGAGGCAGCAGUGGGGAAUAUUGCACAAUGGGCGGAAGCCUGAUGCAGCAACGCCGCGUGCGGGAUGACGGCCUUCGGGUUGUAAACCGCUUUCAGCAGGGGCGAAGCUUGUGGUGACGGUACCUGCAGAAGAAGCACCGGCUAACUACGUG
This 465-nucleotide ribosomal RNA is filed under the name uncultured bacterium. RNAcentral describes it as "partial 16S ribosomal RNA". It matches the Rfam family "Bacterial small subunit ribosomal RNA", at positions 28 to 507 of the family's 1533-position model. The record is from RNAcentral.